Molecule: transfer RNA, 72 nt
Filed under: Camelus bactrianus (Bactrian camel)
Lineage: Eukaryota; Metazoa; Chordata; Mammalia; Artiodactyla; Camelidae
Also listed under: 2 other names
Rfam family: tRNA
About the family: Transfer RNA (tRNA) molecules are approximately 80 nucleotides in length. Their secondary structure includes four short double-helical elements and three loops (D, anti-codon, and T loops). Further hydrogen bonds mediate the characteristic L-shaped molecular structure. tRNAs have two regions of fundamental functional importance: the anti-codon, which is responsible for specific mRNA codon recognition, and the 3' end, to which the tRNAs corresponding amino acid is attached (by aminoacyl-tRNA synthetases). tRNAs cope with the degeneracy of the genetic code in two manners: having more than one tRNA (with a specific anti-codon) for a particular amino acid; and 'wobble' base-pairing, i.e. permitting non-standard base-pairing at the 3rd anti-codon position.
Source: Rfam by way of RNAcentral
GAGCGUAUAGCUCAGUGGUAGAGUGUGUAUUUAGCAUGCAGGAGGUCCUGGGUUCAAUCCCCAGUACCUCCA